Molecule: ribosomal RNA, 158 nt
Filed under: uncultured Caryophanales bacterium
Lineage: Bacteria; Bacillati; Bacillota; Bacilli; Caryophanales
Description: uncultured Bacillales bacterium partial 16S ribosomal RNA
Rfam family: Bacterial small subunit ribosomal RNA
Source: RNAcentral
GAUCAGCAUGCCGCGGUGAAUACGUUCCCGGGUCUUGUACACACCGCCCGUCACACCACGAGAGUUUACAACACCCGAAGUCGGUGAGGUAACCGCAAGGAGCCAGCCGCCGAAGGUGGGGUAGAUGAUUGGGGUGAAGUCGUAACAAGGUAGCCGUA